RNAcentral lists this long non-coding RNA (1928 nucleotides) under Callithrix jacchus (white-tufted-ear marmoset). Its description in RNAcentral is "lncRNA (ENSCJAG00000086668.1)". Lineage: Eukaryota; Metazoa; Chordata; Mammalia; Primates; Cebidae. The record is from RNAcentral.
AGUUCUUUGUGUCAAAAAGGUUGGCCUCUACUGUACUAAACAGAUACUCUCCAAUGUUGAUGAUAUUCAGUAUCUUGAGUGCAGGUCUGAAAAUAUGCAUAGAGAUUGCAGCUCUAGAACUUAUUUUCAUAAAUGAAUAAAUUUUUCGGAAUGCCGGUUUCUAUUUAAGAAAUUAUACUAUUGCCAUUUAAUUCCUACCAAGAAUUCUAUAAAAUAAAGCUAAAUUCCUCAAUUCAGUGGUUGACCCAUGAGUAGAAAUGUCAGUCUCUUUCAAUAGAGAGUAGGACCAAGGAUCUCAUUAGUUUGAAUUCUUUAAAAAUACAUAUUCAAAAACACAUAAGACUGUAAAAUAAAUGUUUAUUCCACCCUUAUACACAUAGUAACCAUUAUUAGACUAUCUGAUAGUUGGCACCUUUCAGUGCAGCUGCAGAAGAGGAAAAUGUUAAAUUGAGCAUCCAUGAGGCAUUUUAAAUUUCUUUUGUUACUAAAUCAAGAAGCAAAUUGUAAUUUUUACUUUGACUCUUCACUAAAACCAGCCAAACACCGUCAGUAAACGAACAUCACCAAAAUUGUGAAAAUACACAAUUAAAUGAAAAAAAGAGAAAUUAAUAAAAGAACAGAUUUAUAACUAACAUUAUUUUUAUUUUCUUUUUACUUUAAGUCAUCUUUUCCUUGGUUAUUAGCUCCCUAGAAGGUAGGUUUCAGAUACUCCAGACUAGGAAGCGUACUAGGAAUCUGAUUUUCAGUACCUUCAUCCUUUAUCUAGCUGUGAUAAACAAAUGCAACUAGUUUACCAAGAGUCAAGGACAGAGUUUCUGUCCAUUAGGGGAAUUUUUUCCUUACUUUAUUCCUUAACUAUAGCUCCAGCCCAUACUCAAGCCAGGCAGCAUAAAAAUACAUGCAGAAAUUUUAAAAAAAAAAAUGAACACUCAAAUUAAUGAACAAGGUAACAAGACCAAGUUACUUUCAUACUCUAAUCUGUGUAAAAUAAAAUUUAACAUACAGCAUAUCAUAAAUAGGGUGAUACUUUAUCAGACUGGGAACCUUGGCAUACUUUAUCAAUAUAUUUACUGAUGGAUGGCCCACAAUCUAUCUAUAGACCUAUCUGCUAUAAUUUAGAAGUACAGCAGUUUGAAUGUGUCAGAUAAAAUAAAAAAGCAACUAGUAAGAAUGAUCCUAUUCUUUCUCCUACAUGCUUCAUUCAGGUCCUAGUGCAUUACUUGUCUUUGGCUUUUUGUUUCCUUCCAUUACACACAAAACUGUUUCCUUGGCUGCAAGCUAAUAUCUGAUCAUUUCCUGCCUUUGAAUAGCAAUAAUGGUAUUGACUCCAACCUAGAAUAGUGACUUGCCUAGUGUUUUUUUAAAAUUUUUCCUUAUUAUAUUAAAAAAAGAGGCCAUAGUUUUAGAAUAAAAAAGCAACAAGAUAUUAAAUACAAAAGGUAUUACAAAUCUUUCACAGAAUGGCAAGUUGAACAGUGAUAUUUCCUAGAAAUAAUGUAGCAGAAAAUCAGGGUUUUGUUAAAGGUACUAGACUAAAAUGGGUUAUUGUAGGCUUUUAAACACUUAUUUUAUUUUAUUUUAUUUUAUUUGUUUUUUUAUUUUGAGAUGGAGUUUCACUCCUGUUGCCGAGGCUGGAGUGCAAUCAGGCAAUCUUGACUCACUGCAACCUCCACCUCCUGGGUUCAAGUGAUUCUCCUGCCUCAGCCUCCUGAGUAGCUCAGAUUACAGGCAUGUGCCACCAUGCCUAGCUAAUUUUUGUAUUUUUAGUAGAGACAGGGUUUCUCCAUGUUGGUCAGUUUAGUCUCUAACUCCCAACCUCAGGUGAUCUGCCCACCUCAACUUCCCAAAGUGCUGGGAUUACAGGUGUGAGCCACUGCGACCGGCCAAAAACUUCUUUCUGAACAAUGAAUUCGACGUUUUAUAUAAAA